RNAcentral lists this small RNA (872 nucleotides) under Pongo abelii (Sumatran orangutan). Its description in RNAcentral is "processed transcript". The record is from RNAcentral. Lineage: Eukaryota; Metazoa; Chordata; Mammalia; Primates; Hominidae.
AACAGCCAGAGAGCAAGCAGAAGCUCAUGAGGCUGAAUGCUUAGGCUUAGCACUGGCACACUCACUUUUGUAUAUAUAUUAUUAACCAAAGCCAAUCAGAUGAUCUAGCCCAAAGUCGAGAGGCAGAGGAAUAGCCUCAUCCAGGAGAAGUGAAGCCAACAUUAAUUCACACAGACAUGUAUGUGAAUAGCAUUGGUCCAGUGAACGCUAUCAAUAUGGAAUACACUAUUGAUAUAUUUUUUGCGCAAACAUGGUAUGACAGACGUUUGAAAUUUAACAGCACCAUUAAAGUCCUCCGAUUGAACAGCAACAUGGUGGGGAAAAUCUGGAUUCCAGACACUUUCUUCAGAAACUCCAAAAAGGCUGAUGCACACUGGAUCACCACCCCCAACAGGAUGCUGAGAAUUUGGAAUGAUGGUCGAGUGCUCUACACCCUAAGGUUGACAAUUGAUGCUGAGUGCCAAUUACAAUUGCACAACUUCCCAAUGGAUGAACACUCCUGCCCCUUGGAGUUCUCUAGUUAUGGCUAUCCACGUGAAGAAAUUGUUUAUCAAUGGAAGCGAAGUUCUGUUGAAGUGGGCGACACAAGAUCCUGGAGGCUUUAUCAAUUCUCAUUUGUUGGUCUAAGAAAUACCACCGAAGUAGUGAAGACAACUUCUGGAGAUUAUGUGGUCAUGUCUGUCUACUUUGAUCUGAGCAGAAGAAUGGGAUACUUUACCAUCCAGACCUAUAUCCCCUGCACACUCAUUGUCGUCCUAUCCUGGGUGUCUUUCUGGAUCAAUAAGGAUGCUGUUCCAGCCAGAACAUCUUUAGGUAUCACCACUGUCCUGACAAUGACCACCCUCAGCACCAUUGCCCGGAAAUCGCUCCCC